This is a long non-coding RNA of Zalophus californianus (California sea lion), 313 nucleotides long. RefSeq lists it as uncharacterized. Lineage: Eukaryota; Metazoa; Chordata; Mammalia; Carnivora; Otariidae. The record is from RefSeq and is a predicted model, not a curated record. The transcript is spliced from 3 exons.
GAGAACUAGAGGGGCGAAGGCAGAAGCAGGGAGACUGGUGAGGAGGCCCCGGCAGUAACCCAGAAUCAUGCACGGGCCAGAGGUGAGGGCCUCAGAGGAAGGGAGUCCUCCUGGCUUGUGGGAAGCGAUCCCGCUCCUGUGACUCAUGGCUCUGGGAAAAAAGCAGAAGUGGAUUCCUGAGACUUUGCAGAGCCCACCCCCAAUCUGUCAGCCAGUCCUGUGAGCUCUACCUUAAAGUAGAGCAAAAACUCAUCGAUAGUGGUAGAAAGCAGACUGGGACACAAGGAAACUUCUGGAGGUAAUGGUUUAAUGG